RNAcentral lists this ribosomal RNA (253 nucleotides) under uncultured bacterium. RNAcentral's name for it is "partial 16S ribosomal RNA". It matches the Rfam family "Bacterial small subunit ribosomal RNA", at positions 524 to 776 of the family's 1533-position model. The record is from RNAcentral.
UACGGGGGGUGCGAGCGUUGUCCGGAUUCACUGGGCGUAAAGGGCGCGUAGGCGGCCGCGUCAGUCGGGCCUGAAAGCCCGGGGCUCACCCCUGGGUCGGGGUCCGGGACGGCGGGGCUGGGGGGCGGCCGAGGGGUGCGGAAUGCCGGGUGUAGUGGUGAAAUGCGUAGAGAUCCGGCGGAACACCGGUGGCGCAGGCGGCGCCCUGGGCCGAGCCCGACGCUGAGGCGCGAGAGCGUGGGGAGCGAACCGG